Molecule: ribosomal RNA, 1151 nt
Filed under: Ciboria sp. FC-2787
Lineage: Eukaryota; Fungi; Ascomycota; Leotiomycetes; Helotiales; Sclerotiniaceae
Description: LSU rRNA
Rfam family: Eukaryotic large subunit ribosomal RNA
Source: RNAcentral
GGAUUACCUCAGUAACGGCGAGUGAAGCGGUAAAAGCUCAAAUUUGAAAUCUGGCUCUUUUAGAGUCCGAGUUGUAAUUUGUAGAAGAUGUUUCGGGUGUGGUUCCGGUCUAAGUUCCUUGGAACAGGACGUCAUAGAGGGUGAGAAUCCCGUAUGUGACUGGAUACCUAUGCUCAUGUGAAACUCUUUCGACGAGUCGAGUUGUUUGGGAAUGCAGCUCAAAAUGGGAGGUAUAUUUCUUCUAAAGCUAAAUAUUGGCCAGAGACCGAUAGCGCACAAGUAGAGUGAUCGAAAGAUGAAAAGCACUUUGGAAAGAGAGUUAAACAGUACGUGAAAUUGUUGAAAGGGAAGCGCUUGCAAUCAGACUUGCACUUGGUGUUCAUCAGGAAUUCGUUUCCUGUGUACUUCAUCAAGUUCAGGCCAGCAUCAGUUUGAGUGGUUAGAUAAAGGCUUAGAGAAUGUGGCUUCCUUCGGGGAGUGUUAUAGCUCUAGGUGCAAUGUAGCCUACUUGGACUGAGGACCGCGCUUCGGCUAGGAUGCUGGCGUAAUGGUUGUAAGCGACCCGUCUUGAAACACGGACCAAGGAGUGUACCUAAUAUGCGAGUGUUUGGGUGUUAAACCCAUACGCGUAAUGAAAGUGAACGCUGGUGAGAACCCUUAAGGGUGCAUCAUCGACCGAUCUUGAUGUCUUCGGAUGGAUUUGAGUAAGAGCAUAUUGGGUGCGACCCGAAAGAUGGUGAUCUAUACGUGAAUAGGGUGAAGCCAGAGGAAACUCUGGUGGAGGCUCGCAGCGGUUCUGACGUGCAAAUCGAUCGUCAAAUUUGCGUAUAGGGGCGAAAGACUAAUCGAACCAUUAAGGAAUAGACCAAGCUCUAGGUGGUUGAGAAACCCCCUUGGGGUAUUAGUCCUGGAGACAGGGCGACAUUGUCAAAUUGUUCGGGGACCACCCGCUAAAUUACAUACUACCGCAGCAGUGCUGAAAGGCCUGUGAGCACUAGAGGUAGCGCCUCUAGGGAUGGUAAUAACGUAUGUAUAGGGUAUAUCCGCAGCGAAGUUCUAAGGCCUAACGGCUACGAAUCGCGUUCACAGACUAGACGGCAAUGGGCUCCUAACGGGGCUUAAGAUAUAGUCGAACCCCUCAGAGAUGAGGA